This 497-nucleotide ribosomal RNA is filed under the name uncultured bacterium. RNAcentral describes it as "partial 16S ribosomal RNA". It matches the Rfam family "Bacterial small subunit ribosomal RNA", at positions 28 to 507 of the family's 1533-position model. The record is from RNAcentral.
GACGAACGCUGGCGGCGUGCCUAAUACAUGCAAGUUGAGCGCUGAAGGCUGGUACUUGUACCAACUGGAUGAGCAGCGCACGGGUGAGUAACGCGUGGGGAAUCUGCCUUUGAGCGGGGGACAACAUUUGGAAACGAAUGCUAAUACCGCAUAAAAACUUUAAACACAAGUUUUAAGUUUGAAAGAUGCAAUUGCAUCACUCAAAGAUGAUCCCGCGUUGUAUUAGCUAGUUGGUGAGGUAAAGGCUCACCAAGGCGAUGAUACAUAGCCGACCUGAGAGGGUGAUCGGCCACAUUGGGACUGAGACACGGCCCAAACUCCUACGGGAGGCAGCAGUAGGGAAUCUUCGGCAAUGGACGAAAGUCUGACCGAGCAACGCCGCGUGAGUGAAGAAGGUUUUCGGAUCGUAAAACUCUGUUGGUAGAGAAGAACGUUGGUGAGAGUGGAAAGCUCAUCAAGUGACGGUAACUACCCAGAAAGGGACGGCUAACUACGUG